Molecule: unclassified non-coding RNA, 400 nt
Filed under: soil metagenome
Description: partial contains 5.8S ribosomal RNA, internal transcribed spacer 2, and large subunit ribosomal RNA
Rfam family: 5.8S ribosomal RNA (bases 1-122)
Source: RNAcentral
GAUGGAGAACGCAGCGAAAUGCGAUACUUGGUGUGAAUUGCAGAAUCCCGUGAACCAUCGAGUCUUUGAACGCAAGUUGCGCCUCAAGCCAUUAGGUUGAGGGCACGUCUGCCUGGGCGUCACAUAUCGUUGCCUGAUGCCAGUUUCCUCGUGAUGGGUGACUGUGCAGGGCGAAUGAUGGCUUCCCGUGAGCAUUGUUGCCUCAUGGUUGGUUGAAAAUUGAGUCCUUGGUAGGGAGCGCCGUGAUAGAUGGUGGUUGAGUGACGAACGAGACCCAAUCAUGUGAGACCCCUACCGAAUUUGGCCUUCAUGACCCACAUGCGUCUUUGGAACGCUCAUGACGAGACCUCAGGUCAGGCGGGGCUACCCGCUGAGUUUAAGCAUAUCAAUAAGCGGAGGA